RNAcentral lists this ribosomal RNA (574 nucleotides) under uncultured bacterium. Its description in RNAcentral is "partial 16S ribosomal RNA". It matches the Rfam family "Bacterial small subunit ribosomal RNA", at positions 355 to 922 of the family's 1533-position model. The record is from RNAcentral.
UGGGGAAUUUUGGACAAUGGGCGAAAGCCUGAUCCAGCAAUGCCGCGUGUGUGAAGAAGGCCUUCGGGUUGUAAAGCACUUUUGUCCGGAAGAAAUCCUUGGCUCUAAUACAGUCGGGGGAUGACGGUACCGGAAGAAUAAGCACCGGCUAACUACGUGCCAGCAGCCGCGGUAAUACGUAGGGUGCAAGCGUUAAUCGGAAUUACUGGGCGUAAAGCGUGCGCAGGCGGUUUGCUAAGACCGAUGUGAAAUCCCCGGGCUCAACCUGGGAACUGCAUUGGUGACUGGCAGGCUAGAGUAUGGCAGAGGGGGGUAGAAUUCCACGUGUAGCAGUGAAAUGCGUAGAGAUGUGGAGGAAUACCGAUGGCGAAGGCAGCCCCCUGGGCCAAUACUGACGCUCAUGCACGAAAGCGUGGGGGAGCAAACAGGAUUAGAUACCCUGGUAGUCCACGCCCUAAACGAUGUCAACUAGUUGUUGGGGAUUCAUUUCCUUAGUAACGUAGCUAACGCGUGAAGUUGACCGCCUGGGGAGUACGGUCGCAAGAUUAAAACUCAAAGGAAUUGACGGGGUCAU